Molecule: transfer RNA, 69 nt
Filed under: Ovis aries (sheep)
Lineage: Eukaryota; Metazoa; Chordata; Mammalia; Artiodactyla; Bovidae
Rfam family: tRNA
About the family: Transfer RNA (tRNA) molecules are approximately 80 nucleotides in length. Their secondary structure includes four short double-helical elements and three loops (D, anti-codon, and T loops). Further hydrogen bonds mediate the characteristic L-shaped molecular structure. tRNAs have two regions of fundamental functional importance: the anti-codon, which is responsible for specific mRNA codon recognition, and the 3' end, to which the tRNAs corresponding amino acid is attached (by aminoacyl-tRNA synthetases). tRNAs cope with the degeneracy of the genetic code in two manners: having more than one tRNA (with a specific anti-codon) for a particular amino acid; and 'wobble' base-pairing, i.e. permitting non-standard base-pairing at the 3rd anti-codon position.
Source: Rfam by way of RNAcentral
CCUGGUGGCUCAGAUGGUAAAGCGUGCGCCUACAAUGCGUGAGACCCGGGUUCAAUCCCUGGGUCAGGA